AUUGAACGCUGGCGGCAGGCCUAACACAUGCAAGUCGAGCGGAGCGGCGGACGGGUGAGGAAUGCCUAGGAAUCUGCAUGGUAGUGGGGGAUAACGUCCGGAAACGGGCGCCAAUACCGCAUACUAUCAGACGAGCUUAGGUCGGAUUAGCUAGUUGGUGGGGUAAAGGCCUACCAAGGCGACGAUCCGUAACUGGUCUGAGGGGCUGAUCAGUCAAACUGGAACUGGGAAACGGUCCAGACUCCUACGGGGGGCAGCAGUGGGGAAUAUUGGACAAUGAGCGAAAGCCUGAUCCAGCCAUGCCGCGUGUGUUAAGAAGGUUUUCGGGUUGUAAAGCACUUUAAGCUGGACGGCGUUACCAGCAGAAUAAGCACCGGCUAACUUCGUGCCAGCAGCCGCGGUAAUAC
Molecule: ribosomal RNA, 407 nt
Filed under: uncultured bacterium
Lineage: Bacteria
Description: partial 16S ribosomal RNA
Rfam family: Bacterial small subunit ribosomal RNA
Source: RNAcentral